RNAcentral lists this ribosomal RNA (407 nucleotides) under Micromonospora sp. U56. RNAcentral's name for it is "bacterial SSU rRNA". It matches the Rfam family "Bacterial small subunit ribosomal RNA", at positions 1131 to 1533 of the family's 1533-position model. Lineage: Bacteria; Bacillati; Actinomycetota; Actinomycetes; Micromonosporales; Micromonosporaceae. The record is from RNAcentral.
GCGGGGACUCAUCGAAGACUGCCGGGGUCAACUCGGAGGAAGGUGGGGAUGACGUCAAGUCAUCAUGCCCCUUAUGUCCAGGGCUUCACGCAUGCUACAAUGGCCGGUACAAUGGGCUGCGAUACCGCGAGGUGGAGCGAAUCCCAAAAAGCCGGUCUCAGUUCGGAUCGGGGUCUGCAACUCGACCCCGUGAAGUCGGAGUCGCUAGUAAUCGCAGAUCAGCAACGCUGCGGUGAAUACGUUCCCGGGCCUUGUACACACCGCCCGUCACGUCACGAAAGUCGGCAACACCCGAAGCCGGUGGCCCAACCCCUUGUGGGAGGGAGCCGUCGAAGGUGGGGCUGGCGAUUGGGACGAAGUCGUAACAAGGUAGCCGUACCGGAAGGUGCGGCUGGAUCACCUCCUUU